Molecule: ribosomal RNA, 253 nt
Filed under: uncultured bacterium
Lineage: Bacteria
Description: partial 16S ribosomal RNA
Rfam family: Bacterial small subunit ribosomal RNA
Source: RNAcentral
UACAGAGGUCUCAAGCGUUGUUCGGAUUCAUUGGGCGUAAAGGGCGUGUAGGUGGCGCGCUAAGUCGGGUGUGAAAUUUUGGAGCUUAACUCCGAAACUGCAUUCGAUACUGGCGUGCUUGAGGACUGGAGAGGAGACUGGAAUUCAUGGUGUAGCAGUGAAAUGCGUAGAGAUCAUGAGGAAGACCAGUGGCGAAGGCGGGUCUCUGGACAGUUCCUGACACUGAGACACGAAGGCCAGGGGAGCAAACGGG